UUCCAGCUCCAGUAGCGUAUACUAAUUUUGUUGCAGUUAAAAAGCUCGUAGUUGAAAUUCGGCGCUUACGCGUCUGCCCGCGAGGAUUUCCGGUACCUAACCGUACCUGUUGUUCAAACGGGCCUUUACUGUGAAGAAAUUAAAGUGCUCAGAGCAGGCUAUGGCUUGUAUAACAAAGCAUGGAAUAAUAGAAAAAGACUUUCUUCUUUUAUUGGUUAUGAGGAAAGUAAUGAUUAACAGAAUCAGUUGGGGGCAUUCGUACUUAAUCGUCAGAGGUGAAAUUCUAGGAUUGAUUAAAGACGAACUAAUGCGAAAGCAUUUGCCAAGAAUGUUUUCAUUAAUCAAGAACGAAAGCUAGGGGAUCAAAGACG
This 371-nucleotide ribosomal RNA is filed under the name uncultured Heliophrya. RNAcentral describes it as "SSU rRNA". It matches the Rfam family "Eukaryotic small subunit ribosomal RNA", at positions 583 to 1006 of the family's 1831-position model. Lineage: Eukaryota; Ciliophora; Phyllopharyngea; Evaginogenida; Heliophryidae. The record is from RNAcentral.